Molecule: ribosomal RNA, 440 nt
Filed under: uncultured bacterium
Lineage: Bacteria
Description: bacterial SSU rRNA
Rfam family: Bacterial small subunit ribosomal RNA
Source: RNAcentral
UACGGGAGGCAGCAGUGGGGAAUAUUGCACAAUGGGCGCAAGCCUGAUGCAGCCAUGCCGCGUGUAUGAAAAAGGCCUUCGGGUUGUAAAGUACUUUCAGUCGUGAGGAAGGUGUUAAGGUUAAUAACCUUAGCAAUUGACGUUAGCGACAGAAGAAGCACCGGCUAACUCCGUGCCAGCAGCCGCGGUAAUACAGAGGGUGCGAGCGUUAAUCGGAAUUACUGGGCGUAAAGGGCACGCAGGCGGUUAAUUAAGUUGGAUGUGAAAUCCCCGGGCUUAACCUGGGAAUGGCAUUCAAGACUGGUUAGCUAGAGUCUUGUAGAGGGGGUUAGAAUUCCAUGUGUAGCGGUGAAAUGCGUAGAGAUGUGGAGGAAUACCGGUGGCGAAGGCGGCCCCUGGACAAAGGCUGACGCUCAUGUGCGAAAGCGUGGGGAGCAAAC